This 197-nucleotide ribosomal RNA is filed under the name uncultured beta proteobacterium. Its description in RNAcentral is "partial 16S ribosomal RNA". It matches the Rfam family "Bacterial small subunit ribosomal RNA", at positions 336 to 524 of the family's 1533-position model. The record is from RNAcentral. Lineage: Bacteria; Pseudomonadati; Pseudomonadota; Betaproteobacteria.
CUCCUACGGGAGGCAGCAGUGGGGAAUUUUGGACAAUGGGCGAAAGCCUGAUCCAGCAAUGCCGCGUGUGUGAAGAAGGCCUUCGGGUUGUAAAGCUACUUUUGUCCGGAAAGAAAUCCUUGGCUCUAAUACAGUCGGGGGAUGACGGUACCGGAAGAAUAAGCACCGGCUAACUACGUGCCAGCAGCCGCGGUAAU